RNAcentral lists this ribosomal RNA (492 nucleotides) under uncultured bacterium. RNAcentral's name for it is "partial 16S ribosomal RNA". It matches the Rfam family "Bacterial small subunit ribosomal RNA", at positions 29 to 507 of the family's 1533-position model. The record is from RNAcentral.
AGUGAACGCUGGCGGUAGGCCUAACACAUGCAAGUCGAACGGCAGCACAGUAAGAGCUUGCUCUUACGGGUGGCGAGUGGCGGACGGGUGAGGAAUACAUCGGAAUCUACUUUUUCGUGGGGGAUAACGUAGGGAAACUUACGCUAAUACCGCAUACGACCUACGGGUGAAAGCAGGGGAUCUUCGGACCUUGCGCGAUUGAAUGAGCCGAUGUCGGAUUAGCUAGUUGGCGGGGUAAAGGCCCACCAAGGCGACGAUCCGUAGCUGGUCUGAGAGGAUGAUCAGCCACACUGGAAUUGAGACACGGUCCAGACUCCUACGGGAGGCAGCAGUGGGGAAUAUUGGACAAUGGGCGCAAGCCUGAUCCAGCCAUACCGCGUGGGUGAAGAAGGCCUUCGGGUUGUAAAGCCCUUUUGUUGGGAAAGAAAAGCAGCAGGUUAAUACCCCGCUGUUCUGACGGUACCCAAAGAAUAAGCACCGGCUAACUUCGCG